GAUGAACGCUGGCGGCGUGCUUAAUACAUGCAAGUCGAGCGAACAGAUGAGGAGCUUGCUCCUCUGACGUUAGCGGCGCAAGGGUGAGUAACACGUGGAUAACCUACCUAUAUUUCUGGGAUCACUUGGGGAAACCGGAGAUAAUACCGGAGAAUAUCUUGCACCGCAUGGUUCAAUAGUGAAAGACGGUUUUGCUGUCACUUAUAGAUGGAUCCGCGCCGCAUUAGCUAGUUGGUAAGGUAACGGCUUACCAAGGCAACGAUGCGUAGCCGACCUGAGAGGGUGAUCGGCCACACUGGAACUGAGACACGGUCCAGACUCCUACGGGAGGCAGCAGUAGGGAAUCUUCCGCAAUGGGCGAAAGCCUGACGGAGCAACGCCGCGUGAGUGAUGAAGGUCUUCGGAUCGUAAAACUCUGUUAUUAGGGAAGAACAAAUGUGUAAGUAACUAUGCACGUCUUGACGGUACCUAAUCAGAAAGCCACGGCUAACUACGUG
Molecule: ribosomal RNA, 497 nt
Filed under: uncultured bacterium
Lineage: Bacteria
Description: partial 16S ribosomal RNA
Rfam family: Bacterial small subunit ribosomal RNA
Source: RNAcentral